This 105-nucleotide ribosomal RNA is filed under the name Escherichia coli. The record is from RNAcentral. RNAcentral also lists the same sequence under 4 other names. Lineage: Bacteria; Pseudomonadati; Pseudomonadota; Gammaproteobacteria; Enterobacterales; Enterobacteriaceae.
CCUGGCGGCCGUAGCGCGGUGGUCCCACCUGACCCCAUGCCGAACUCAGAAGUGAAACGCCGUAGCGCCGAUGGUAGUGUGGGGUCUCCCCAUGCGAGAGUAGGG